CGCGUAGGCGGUUCCGAAAGUGGCGUGUGAAAUCCCCCGGCUCAACCGGGGAAGUGCGCGCCAAACUUCGGUUCUAGAGGACGGUAGGGGGGACGUGGAACUCUCGGUGGAGCGGUGAAAUGCGUAGAUAUCGAGAGGAACACCGGCGGCGAAGGCGAGUCCCUGGUCCGUUUCUGACGCUGAGGCGCGAAAGCGUGGGUAGCAAACA
Molecule: ribosomal RNA, 208 nt
Filed under: uncultured bacterium
Lineage: Bacteria
Description: partial 16S ribosomal RNA
Rfam family: Bacterial small subunit ribosomal RNA
Source: RNAcentral